RNAcentral lists this ribosomal RNA (497 nucleotides) under uncultured bacterium. RNAcentral describes it as "partial 16S ribosomal RNA". It matches the Rfam family "Bacterial small subunit ribosomal RNA", at positions 28 to 507 of the family's 1533-position model. The record is from RNAcentral.
GAUGAACGCUGGCGGCGUGCCUAAUACAUGCAAGUCGAGCGAACAGACGAGGAGCUUGCUCCUCUGACGUUAGCGGCGGACGGGUGAGUAACACGUGGAUAACCUACCUAUAAGACUGGGAUAACUUCGGGAAACCGGAGCUAAUACCGGAUAAUAUAUUGAACCGCAUGGUUCAAUAGUGAAAGACGGUUUUGCUGUCACUUAUAGAUGGAUCCGCGCCGCAUUAGCUAGUUGGUAAGGUAACGGCUUACCAAGGCAACGAUGCGUAGCCGACCUGAGAGGGUGAUCGGCCACACUUGAACUGAGACACGGUCCAGACUCCUACGGGAGGCAGCAGUAGGGAAUCUUCCGCAAUUGGCGAAAGCCUGACGGAGCAACGCCGCGUGAGUGAUGAAGGUCUUCGGAUCGUAAAACUCUGUUAUUAGGGAAGAACAAAUGUGUAAGUAACUAUGCUCGUCUUGACGGUACCUAAUCAGAAAGCCACGGCUAACUACGUG